UCUGGWUGAUCCUGGCAGAGGKUACUGCUAUCGGUGUUCGCCUAAGCCAUGCGAGUUCAUAUGUCCUUCGUGAACAUGGCGUACUGCUCAGUAACACGUGGAUAACCUGCCCUUGGGUCCGGGCAUAACCCCGGGAAACUGGGGAUAAAUUCCCGGAUAACGCACAUAUGCUGGAAUGCUUUAUGCGUAAAAUGGAUUCGUCCGCCCAAGGAUGGGUCUGCGGCCUAUCAGGUAGUAGUGGGUGUAAUGUACCUACUAGCCUACAACGGGUACGGGUUGUGAGAGCAAGAGCCCGGAGAUGGAUUCUGAGACAUGAAUCCAGGCCCUACGGGGCGCAGCAGGCGCGAAAACCUUACAAUGCGGGAAACCGUGAUAAGGGGACACCGAGUGCCAGCAUCAUAUGCUGGCUGUCCAGAUGUGUAAAAUACAUCUGUUAGCAAGGGCCGGGCAAGACCGGUGCCAGCCGCCGCGGUAACACCGGCGGCCCGAGUGGUGAUCGUGAUUAUUGGGUCUAAAGGGUCCGUAGCCGGUUUGGUCAGUCCUCCGGGAAAUCUGAUAGCUCAACUAUUAGGCUUUCGGGGGAUACUGCCAGGCUUGGAACCGGGAGAGGUAAGAGGUACUACAGGGGUAGGAGUGAAAUCUUGUAAUCCCUGUGGGACCACCUGUGGCGAAGGCGUCUUACCAGAACGGGUUCGACGGUGAGGGACGAAAGCUGGGGGCACGAACCGGAUUAGAUACCCGGGUAGUCCCAGCCGUAAACGAUGCUCGCUAGGUGUCAGGCAUGGCGCGACCGUGUCUGGUGCCGCAGGGAAGCCGUGAAGCGAGCCACCUGGGAAGUACGGCCGCAAGGCUGAAACUUAAAGGAAUUGGCGGGGGAGCACAACAACGGGUGGAGCCUGCGGUUUAAUUGGACUCAACGCCGGACAACUCACCGGGGACGACAGCAAAAUGUAGGCCAGGCUGAAGACCUUGCCUGAAUCGCUGAGAGGAGGUGCAUGGCCGUCGCCAGUUCGUACUGUGAAGCAUCCUGUUAAGUCAGGCAACGAGCGAGACCCAA
RNAcentral lists this ribosomal RNA (1057 nucleotides) under uncultured archaeon. RNAcentral describes it as "bacterial SSU rRNA". It matches the Rfam family "Archaeal small subunit ribosomal RNA", at positions 1 to 1055 of the family's 1478-position model. The record is from RNAcentral.